UUGAUCACACUAAUACAUUUCCCAGUGCUAUUGAGUUAUCUUCGUAAUAAGUAGAAUUUUUGGCCUAGACUAUAUGUUGAGGGGAAAAAUAUUUUCUAGUUUCUCAAAGGCAUCACUACCUAUGAUAAUGGCAAUUUAUAUCACUAAAUCAGAAACUUCACAUCUUAGUUCACAGCAUCUACUUUCAGAUUUUGGAAAACUUAUGGUUUGAUUUUCCAGACACAGUGAAUAGAAACAACCUGUUUUACUUUUAAAUUUUAAGAAUUUUUCCAGACAAAUUGAGUAUAUUUCAGUACCUACAACUGUAGACAACACAAUUUUUCAGUAAUGAGGAUUGAACUCAAUGCUGUACCACUGAUCUAAAUCCCCAGCUCUUUUUAAAUUUUAUUUUGAGAUAGGAUACCACUAAGUUGACCAGACUGGUCUCCACUUGAAUCCUUCUGCCUCACCUUCCUAAGUUGUUGGAAUUAAAGGUUUGUGCCACUACACCUGCUCCUUCCUUAUGUUAUUUUGGUUGUUUGUUUGUGUGUGUGUGUGUGUGUGUGUGUAUAUAUAAAAUAUAUAUGUAUAUAUAUUAGAUGUAGAUGGACACAACACAAUGCCUUUAUUUUUAUGUGGUGCUGAGGAUCGAGUCUGGGUCCCGCCAAACUAGGCGAGCGCUCUACCGCUGAGCCACAAUCCCAGCCCCUUAUUUUGUUUUUUAAAUUUAUUUCUGUAUUUUUAUACACACACACACACACACACACACAGGAAUUGAACUCAGGGACAUUCAUCUUUUUCUUUCUUUUUUUUUAUGUGGUGCUGAGGAUCGAACCCAGGGCCUCACACCUGCGAGGCAAGUGCUGUGCUGCUGAGCUACAGCCCCAACCUCUGCCCUCAACCCUUUUUAUUUUUUAUUUUGAGACAGAGUCUUGCUAAAUUGCUCAGGGCCUUGCUAAAUUUCUACGGCUGGCUUUGAACUCCAGAUCUUCCUGCCUUGGGCUUCCUGGCCACUGGGAUUACAGGCAUGGGCUGCUACUUUGGCUCAUUUUAAUCAUGCUUAUCAGCCUUAGGAGGAUUUCAAAGCAUGUACCAAAAUUUAAUGCUCCCACAAAAGAUCAAGGAAUUUUUAAAAAGAAAGCAGUGAGAAAACAUUAGUAACAACUUUCAUCUACUACGUUCAGAAAGUUUUACUUAGUAAUUCACUAGCAGUUAUGAGUUCAUAUAUACUAGAAAUGUUAUUUCCAAUGUAGAAAUAUUUCCAGUAAUAAGAUAUGAAAUCUCAUGAAAAAUAAGAAUAGUUUAUGAUUGAUGUAUGUACAUUCCAUGUAUGUAUUAUAUGUCAAAAUACAUUCUGCUGUCAUGUAUGACUAAAAAUAGAAAAAUAAAUAAAAAAGAAAAAAACAGAAAAACAAAAUAAGAAUAGUACUUAAUAUCACUGAACUUAUACCUAAAAAUUUUUCAAUAAAUUCUACAUCAUUUAUCAUAAUUUUUUUCCAAAGUCAAAAUGAUCAUGGGAUGCAACAAAGUGUUCAGUAUGAACAUUGAAUGAAUAACUAUGGGUGGCAGUUAAUUUUUUUAUUAUUAUGAUUAUUUUUUGAACCAGGGAUUGAACCUAGGAGUGUUUAACCAGUGAAC
Molecule: long non-coding RNA, 1617 nt
Filed under: Marmota monax (woodchuck)
Lineage: Eukaryota; Metazoa; Chordata; Mammalia; Rodentia; Sciuridae
Source: RNAcentral